AACGAACGCUGGCGGCAGGCCUAACACAUGCAAGUCGAGCGCGCCCUUCGGGGUGAGCGGCGGACGGGUGAGUAACGCGUGGGAACGUGCCCUUCUCUGCGGAAUAGCCUCGGGAAACUGAGAGUAAUACCGCAUACGCCCUUUGGGGGAAAGAUUUAUCGGAGAAGGAUCGGCCAGCGUUGGAUUAGGUAGUUGGUGGGGUAAUGGCCCACCAAGCCGACGAUCCAUAGCUGGUUUGAGAGGAUGAUCAGCCACACUGGGACUGAGACACGGCCCAGACUCCUACGGGAGGCAGCAGUGGGUAAUCUUAGACAAUGGGGGCAACCCUGAUCUAGCCAUGCCGCGUGAGUGAUGAAGGCCUUAGGGUUGUAAAGCUCUUUCAGCUGGGAAGAUAAUGACGGUACCAGCAGAAGAAGCCCCGGCUAACUCCGUG
This 433-nucleotide ribosomal RNA is filed under the name uncultured bacterium. Its description in RNAcentral is "partial 16S ribosomal RNA". It matches the Rfam family "Bacterial small subunit ribosomal RNA", at positions 29 to 507 of the family's 1533-position model. The record is from RNAcentral.